CAGCCGCCACGGUAAUACGAAGGGGGCUAGCGUUGUUCGGAUUUACUGGGCGUAAAGCGCACGUAGGCGGACUUUUAAGUCAGGGGUGAAAUCCCGGGGCUCAACCCCGGAACUGCCUUUGAUACUGGGAGUCUUGAGUUCGAGAGAGGUGAGUGGAAUUGCGAGUGUAGAGGUGAAAUUCGUAGAUAUUCGCAGGAACACCAGUGGCGAAGGCGGCUCACUGGCUCGAUACUGACGCUGAGGUGCGAAAGCGUGGGGAGCAAACAGGAUUAGAUACCCGUGUAGUCCCUGUCUCUUAUAC
This 301-nucleotide ribosomal RNA is filed under the name uncultured bacterium. RNAcentral describes it as "partial 16S ribosomal RNA". It matches the Rfam family "Bacterial small subunit ribosomal RNA", at positions 509 to 807 of the family's 1533-position model. The record is from RNAcentral.